ACCAUGUGUGGACACAGCAAGAAGGCAGCAUCUAUAAGCUAGGAAGGAGGCCCUCACCAGACUUGGAAUCUGCUGGCUUCCUGAUCUUGGCCUUUCUAGCCUCCAGAACUAUGGGUGAAAGCUGUGGAAGAAUACAGACUGACCAGGAACCCCACCCUAAGGAAGAGAUUGCCCGGGAAUGCCUUCAGGAGACUCCUUAAGAUGGACCUCAGGGAUGCAGAUGCCUUGCCUUCUGCACUGCAGCCUCUGAAUUGCUUGCUACUUUCUUACUUGUGCACAGCAAGGGGGCAUAAUUACCCAUUGGCAAGUGCUUCUGGCCUCUGGACUUCAGGGACCUAGACGUUCAAAGCCUGCUGGAAUAAAAGAACUUCCUAAGGUUCAGAACACAACCUAACACCAGCAUUCAGGGAAACAACACAAAGACUUGUCCAUGAUGGUUACAGCCACCCAAAAAAGCCAUCUUCAUAUAUGUGUAGUUUCAAUAGUUUCCAUUGGUCUUCUGGUGACAGUGCAUUCACCCAAACACACUAGCACACUAGGUGUACCAUCCAUCUCCAUAGAAGAGUGGGACAUAGCCGCUGAUGGAUUCUUUGUGAGGCCAAUCCAAGACCCCCAUAUGCUAUUACUAUAUGAUCUGAAUGCCAAGGAAGCAGUCAGUCCCACCUUACCCCAGAGCCAGCUGCUUCCUUACUAAUGUACUCUCUACUAUAAUUUCAGGGAAGGACCUAAAAAACAUACUUCUUGGCUUGGCAGUGAUCUUAGAGGCACUUGUAUCCUAGAUGUCCCAGAGACACUGAUCAUAGGUCAUGUCCUUCCUGUCCUCCCUGAGAGACAAUGUAGUUUGGUGAAAAAGGCAUGACAAAGAUGUGUGACCUUGAGACUGUCAGCCUCAUCAUCCAAAAAAUGAGGGGCAAAUGUACUAGAAAAUCUCUAGAUCCUUUCUCUGAUCGUUAUAUUCCUGACACUUUGAGGGGUUCCUGUUUCCUAAAUGCUCCAGGUUUUGCAGGCUUGGAGUGAUUCCCAAAGCCAUCCUUUAUCAGCGCUAUCUGGCUUCAUCAACAGUUUUCUCCAAGGUGAAUACUCAGAUAGCCCCCUCUAAGUCUCUUUUACAAGUAAAGAGAAUGAACACUCCACAAUCCGUAUGAAACCCUAGCACAUCAGUGGUUUAAGUGGAUUUCUUUCACCACCAGAAAGCUCUUGUUACGUAAUGUAACUAUUAGGCUGGGCUGAACUUCAUCUGAUGAUAAAUGAUAGGUCACAGAAAGUUCAUGCCCAAUAACAGAAGUAGCAUAUCAGUAUUACCCAGAGCACACACAUAUGAAAGAUGGAAGAGCCAUCAAUAAUCAUGUUUGGUCCUUGUAAUUAUUAUUAGCUUAGUAAUAGUUAUUGCCAUCCUCACUCUUUCUGCUGAAAGAGAGGCUUUCUGCUAAAGAGCAACUAAUAACAAUGAAGGGUCAAAUGUACACAACAAAUAAUACUCCUCACCCAGACACAUAAUACAG
This 1502-nucleotide long non-coding RNA is filed under the name Homo sapiens (human). Its description in RNAcentral is "HSALNT0374233". Lineage: Eukaryota; Metazoa; Chordata; Mammalia; Primates; Hominidae. The record is from RNAcentral.